Molecule: ribosomal RNA, 301 nt
Filed under: uncultured bacterium
Lineage: Bacteria
Description: partial 16S ribosomal RNA
Rfam family: Bacterial small subunit ribosomal RNA
Source: RNAcentral
CAGCAGCCGCGGUAAUACGGAGGGUGCAAGCGUUAAUCGGAAUUACUGGGCGUAAAGCGUGCGUAGGCGGUUCGUUAAGUCUGUUGUGAAAGCCCCGGGCUCAACCUGGGAAUGGCAAUGGAUACUGGCGAGCUAGAGUGUGUCAGAGGAUGGUGGAAUUCCCGGUGUAGCGGUGAAAUGCGUAGAGGUCGGGAGGAACAUCAGUGGCGAAGGCGGCCAUCUGGGACAACACUGACGCUGAGGCACGAAAGCGUGGGGAGCAAACAGGAUUAGAUACCCGUGUAGUCCCUGUCUCUUAUAU